AGAACACACUAUGGAUCUACCAACUGAUUCGCUAGGCCAAGAUGAAAUGGGAGCUGAGUAUGUUUUUGGAAGUCAACACCAUCCACAUCUCUUAUAGUUGAUAAUAAGAGCACUGAUGGGCACUUCUUACGCAUUCAUUUCAACAUCAGGUUAGACUUUGCUAUGAUGUUUCUUUUUUUU
Molecule: non-coding RNA, 180 nt
Organism: Camelina sativa (false flax)
Lineage: Eukaryota; Viridiplantae; Streptophyta; Magnoliopsida; Brassicales; Brassicaceae
Source: RefSeq, a predicted model, not a curated record